This 143-nucleotide unclassified non-coding RNA is filed under the name Flavobacterium aquidurense. RNAcentral's name for it is "Flavo-1 RNA". The record is from RNAcentral. Lineage: Bacteria; Pseudomonadati; Bacteroidota; Flavobacteriia; Flavobacteriales; Flavobacteriaceae.
UUUUGCCCCAGAUUGAAGUAAAAACCCCGCAGUUGUGGUAGUUUACAUUUUUUGCGAUAAAAAAGCGACCAACGGAAGCUCUUUUUAUUGCUUAAAAAUGUUGCUAACACAAUGAGGAGUUGAAACGGAAAGCUGGAUUAGGC